UAAUACAUCGGAACGUGCCUAGUAGUGGGGGAUAACUACUCGAAAGAGUGGCUAAUACCGCAUGAGAUCUAUGGAUGAAAGCAGGGGACCUUCGGGCCUUGUGCUACUGGAGCGGCCGAUGGCAGAUUAGGUAGUUGGUGGGAUAAAAGCUUACCAAGCCGACGAUCUGUAGCUGGUCUGAGAGGACGAUCAGCCACACUGGGACUGAGACACGGCCCAG
This 220-nucleotide ribosomal RNA is filed under the name uncultured bacterium. RNAcentral's name for it is "partial 16S ribosomal RNA". It matches the Rfam family "Bacterial small subunit ribosomal RNA", at positions 111 to 334 of the family's 1533-position model. The record is from RNAcentral.